Molecule: ribosomal RNA, 448 nt
Filed under: uncultured Actinomycetales bacterium
Lineage: Bacteria; Bacillati; Actinomycetota; Actinomycetes; Actinomycetales
Description: bacterial SSU rRNA
Rfam family: Bacterial small subunit ribosomal RNA
Source: RNAcentral
ACGGGAGGCAGCAGUGGGGAAUAUUGGACAAUGGGCGGAAGCCUGAUCCAGCAACGCCGCGUGAGGGAUGACGGCCUUCGGGUUGUAAACCUCUUUCAGCACCGGCGAAGCGCCCGUGAGGGUGGUGACGGUAGGUGCAGAAGAAGGACCGGCCAACUACGUGCCAGCAGCCGCGGUAAUACGUAGGGUCCGAGCGUUGUCCGGAAUUAUUGGGCGUAAAGGGCUCGUAGGCGGUUUGUCGCGUCGGGAGUGAAAACUCAGGGCUUAACCCUGAGCCUGCUUCCGAUACGGGCAGACUAGAGGUAUGCAGGGGAGAACGGAAUUCCUGGUGUAGCGGUGAAAUGCGCAGAUAUCAGGAGGAACACCGGUGGCGAAGGCGGUUCUCUGGGCAUUACCUGACGCUGAGGAGCGAAAGUGUGGGGAGCGAACAGGAUUAGAUACCCUGGUA